RNAcentral lists this ribosomal RNA (293 nucleotides) under uncultured microorganism. RNAcentral's name for it is "partial 16S ribosomal RNA". It matches the Rfam family "Bacterial small subunit ribosomal RNA", at positions 505 to 796 of the family's 1533-position model. The record is from RNAcentral.
GUGUCAGCAGCCGCGGUUAUACGGAGGUGGCAACCGUUGUCCAGAUUUAUUGGGCGUCACAGGGGGCGCAUGUGGUUUCUUAAGUCUGAUGUGAAAGCCCACGGCUUAACCGUGGAGGGUCAUUGGAAACUGGGAAACUUGAGUACAGAAGAGGAAUGUGGAACUCCAUGUGUAGCGGUGGAAUGCGUAGAUAUAUGGAAGAACACCAGUGGCGAAGGCGACAUUCUGGUCUGUUACUGACACUGAGGCUCGAAAGCGUGGGGAGCAAACAGGAUUAGAUACCCUGGUAGUCC